AUUGAACGCUGGCGGCAUGCCUUACACAUGCAAGUCGAACGGUAACGGGUCCUUCGGGAUGCCGACGAGUGGCGAACGGGUGAGUAAUAUAUCGGAACGUGCCCAGUAGUGGGGGAUAACUGCUCGAAAGAGCAGCUAAUACCGCAUACGACCUGAGGGUGAAAGGGGGGGAUCGCAAGACCUCUCGCUAUUGGAGCGGCCGAUAUCAGAUUAGCUAGUUGGUGGGGUAAAGGCCUACCAAGGCAACGAUCUGUAGUUGGUCUGAGAGGACGACCAGCCACACUGGGACUGAGACACGGCCCAGACUCCUACGGGAGGCAGCAGUGGGGAAUCUUGGACAAUGGGCGCAAGCCUGAUCCAGCAAUGCCGCGUGCAGGAAGAAGGCCUUCGGGUUGUAAACUGCUUUUGUCAGGGAAGAAAUCUUCUGGGCUAAUACCCCGGGAGGAUGACGGUACCUGAAGAAUAAGCACCGGCUAACUACGUGCCAGCAGCCGCGGUAAUACGUAGGGUGCGAGCGUUAAUCGGAAUUACUGGGCGUAAAGCGUGCGCAGGCGGCUUUGCAAGACAGAUGUGAAAUCCCCGGGCUCAACCUGGGAACUGCAUUUGUGACUGCAAGGCUAGAGUACGGCAGAGGGGGAUGGAAUUCCGCGUGUAGCAGUGAAAUGCGUAGAUAUGCGGAGGAACACCAAUGGCGAAGGCAAUCCCCUGGGCCUGUACUGACGCUCAUGCACGAAAGCGUGGGGAGCAAACAGGAUUAGAUACCCUGGUAGUCCACGCCCUAAACGAUGUCAACUGGUUGUUGGACGGCUUGCUGUUCAGUAACGAAGCUAACGCGUGAAGUUGACCGCCUGGGGAGUACGGCCGCAAGGUUGAAACUCAAAGGCAUUGACGGGGACCCGCACAAGCGGUGGAUGAUGUGGUUUAAUUCGAUGCAACGCGAAAAACCUUACCUACCCUUGACAUGUCAAGAAUUCUGCAGAGAUGUGGAAGUGCUCGAAAGAGAACUUGAACACAGGUGCUGCAUGGCCGUCGUCAGCUCGUGUCGUGAGAUGUUGGGUUAAGUCCCGCAACGAGCGCAACCCUUGUCAUUAGUUGCUACGCAAGAGCACUCUAACGAGACUGCCGGUGACAAACCGGAGGAAGGUGGGGAUGACGUCAGGUCCUCAUGGCCCUUAUGGGUAGGGCUACACACGUCAUACAAUGGCCGGUACAGAGGGCUGCCAACCCGCGAGGGGGAGCCAAUCCCAGAAAACCGGUCGUAGUCCGGAUCGUAGUCUGCAACUCGACUGCGUGAAGUCGGAAUCGCUAGUAAUCGCGGAUCAGCUUGCCGCGGUGAAUACGUUCCCGGGUCU
RNAcentral lists this ribosomal RNA (1352 nucleotides) under uncultured bacterium. RNAcentral describes it as "bacterial SSU rRNA". It matches the Rfam family "Bacterial small subunit ribosomal RNA", at positions 28 to 1381 of the family's 1533-position model. The record is from RNAcentral.